This 315-nucleotide ribosomal RNA is filed under the name Triticum aestivum (bread wheat). Its description in RNAcentral is "partial small subunit ribosomal RNA". Lineage: Eukaryota; Viridiplantae; Streptophyta; Magnoliopsida; Poales; Poaceae. The record is from RNAcentral.
AUGAAGGUCACCUUCCACGUCCAGCGUGGCUCCAACCCUAACUACCUCGCGGUGCUCGUGGAGUACGCCGACGUGGAUGGGACCGUGGUGCGGAUGGAGCUGAUGCAGACCAGGAACGGCCGCCCCACGGGGUUCUGGGAGCCGAUGCGGCGCUCCUGGGGAUCCAUCUGGCGGAUGGACACCAGCCGCCCGCUGCAGGGGGCCUUCUCCAUGCGCAUCACCAGCGACUCCGGCAAGACGCUGGUGGCCAACAAUGUCAUCCCGGCCUACUGGCGGCCGGACAAAGCCUACGGGUCCAACGUCCAGUUCUAUUGA